AGAGAUUUUCAAAUCUUCCCAUUCUCCCUUUUGAGAUUUUUUCUCUCGUGAUUUUCAGCUGAUUUUUCAUUUAUUUCGGAAUUUUGGCUCAUCUAAUUCUAGGAUUCAGAGGAUCAUUUUUUCUACUUUCUCGAUUUUCCUUUUUAAUUUGUUUUUCUUUAUUUCAGCUUUUUUCUUUUCUUUUCUUUUCUUUUCUUUUUUUUUUCAAUUUUUUGGAAUUUCCGUAUCAUCUGAUAGUUAAAUUUGCACGAAUAGUUUUUUUUUUUUUUAAAUGAUAUUCAGCUAUUUUUGGAUUUAUUUUUGCAAUAUGAGCUCAUUUGACAGUUGAACGUGGAUGAUCAAAACAGAUCUAAGCUUUUUACCAGGGCAAAUGAUAUUUUAUUUAUUUAUUUAUUUGAUUUUUUGGUGAAUUUUCCAUUAUAGACAUCUCGAAAUGAUUUCUCAAAUGGAAGAUAAAAUCUCCUAUUUUUUCUAUUUAAAAUAAUUCCAGAAAAAUGAUUUUAUAGAGUUUGUGAUUUUCGUCUCCAUUCCUUCCUUUCUUUUUCUGAAUAUGUUGGAUUUUCGGUACUGCGCAUCAGCAAACUUAUAUGGUUUGCUUAACAGCAGCAUUCUGUACACAUGAGGCCCAUUUCUCGGCGAUCCAAACCGUUGAUCUUAAUUUCCACUAUAUAAAUGGUUGUUGCCCUGAGAAUCAUUCCGGCUUGAUGAUCGUAACCUCUGCAUUUUUAUCAUUUUCCUCUUUGAAUGUGGACCGUUGCUGUAUAGCUUCCUAACCAUCCAUUUGGAAGACAACAAUCUAAGCGUUGGGAUACCUUCUAUUCUGUUUGGUGUCCAUGGCGUGCUAUAUCCACCGUGGUUAUAAUAGAACCGACGGUUUGGAUUAGUGCAACGUUUGCUGAUGAGCUUCACCGAUAAUUCCCCCCCUUUUUUUUUGUGAAAUUUUGGUCUAUAGUGCUUUUAAAAAUCAGAUCCGUUCAAUUUAGAAAAUUUCAGGUCUGUAUUACUUUGAAAGAUUAGAUUCGUUCACUUUGGUGUCGAAUUCAGCAGGAAUUCUUGUCGAGAGUACCUUCAGAUUGCUUAACUGAUUCUUGAGGCAGUUUGCAGCGAUGGAAGAACCAUAGAUGCAUGAAUGAUUUCUGCAAUUGAUAUGCGGUGUUUCUCCUGUUGGUCAUCCCCUUGCAUGAUUAAGGCUUCACUAGGUACGUUUGUUCAAAAUCGUGUUGUGAAUUACUCAGACAAGUAUAUCAGUUCAUCUCUCCUGGUGGUGCUCUUAAGAACAUCUAUAAUACAUUUCAGUAGAAGUAAUCAUAGUGUAUGGAUUGUUUGUGCGGGAGGAGGAGCAAGCUUUGGGAGCUGGGUAGGCAAGGAGGAGGAGGCCCAUUGAACACUUGGAGGACUCCAUGGUAGAUACUGAGGGGUAGCCUGCCUUGGUGGCGGAGCAAAUGCUUGGCUGGUGAAAGGGAAAGUAGAUAUCUGCGGCUGCUGGAGGACGAAUUGAACCUUAUGUCCAACACAAAGAAAGUUCCCAAGCUGUUGGGAGUCCUUUCCGACCAUGGAAAGUGACUGCAAGUCGAACAACACCAAAAUGCAAAUGAGUGUAUCCUUUUCUUUUCCACGCAGAUAAAUUUUCUUGAUGCAAGUGAAGAGUGAUGAACUCUUCAAGCUGGUUGGCAUGUAUCGGUGCCUGAUUGAAUUUGGAAAGACAGGGCAUGUUCUCGGAUAGAGUUUUGCUGUUUGGUGUUUGAAUUUGGCUGUGAUGGAGGUUUAUUUUUUUGGAAAAACUGUUAGGAAUUUGAGACUGGGGAUUGGGUUGCUGGGACCUUGUUGUCUACGUACUCUAUUUCAUACAGAUAAUCAUGCUUAUUACCAGAAUAAGACGCAAGAGGGAGUGUUUUUGAAGAACUCAUAUUUUUGGUGAAACAUGUAGGAUGUAUGUUUUGGAACAGGUAACUUUAGCAAACUCUACUUAUUUUGGUGCCA
Long non-coding RNA from Magnolia sinica, 1980 nucleotides. RefSeq lists it as uncharacterized. NCBI's taxonomy places the organism in Eukaryota, Viridiplantae, Streptophyta, Magnoliopsida, Magnoliales, Magnoliaceae. The transcript has 2 exons. The record is from RefSeq and is a predicted model, not a curated record.